CUUCUGAAGGCUCGAAACCCCAAACGUUCUAGGGAAAAAAUCUGUCCUGUAUGCCGCCCAAAAGAAAAUGACAGUCAUCAUAGCCAAGUAGCCACCAAGAAUGAUUCCAGUUGUAAAUAUUUCUGCCAACUUCCAACUGUCUGGCUGAGGAGAUGGUUUCACCCUAUCCUUUGAUAUUGUCAUAAUCGUGCCAUCAUUGAGGAUAGCAAUGAUGAGCACCAUGAAGGGUGGGAAGUCAAACUGCCAGAUAAGUGCCAGCAACAUGAAGCCAAGCACAAUACGGAUUGUAAUCGAGACUGCAUAUAUUGUGUAAUUUUUCAUCCUCUGGAAUAUUGCACGACUAGUUAGGACAGCACUUAUGAUAACACUGAGACCAGGUUCUGUUAGGACAAUGUCAGAAGCACUACGAGCUGCAUCAGUUGCAUCAGCAACAGCUAUUCCAAUGUCAGCCUUCUUAAGGGCUGGAGCAUCAUUUACUCCAUCACCAGUCAU
Molecule: unclassified non-coding RNA, 492 nt
Filed under: Hevea brasiliensis (rubber tree)
Lineage: Eukaryota; Viridiplantae; Streptophyta; Magnoliopsida; Malpighiales; Euphorbiaceae
Source: RNAcentral